GAGUUUGAUCCUGGCUCAGGAUGAACGCUGGCGGCGUGCUUAACACAUGCAAGUCGAACGGAGUCAUCAUUUUUGAAGCAAUUAGCUUGCUAAGAGUGGAAAUGUUGAUGACUUAGUGGCGGACGGGUGAGUAACGCGUGGGUAACCUGCCAUAUACAGGGGGAUAACACUUAGAAAUAGGUGCUAAUACCGCAUAAGCGCACAGUAUUGCAUGAGACAGUGUGAAAAACUACGGUGGUAUAUGAUGGACCCGCGUCUGAUUAGCUGGUUGGUGAGGUAACGGCCCACCAAGGCGACGAUCAGUAGCCGGCCUGAGAGGGUGGACGGCCACAUUGGGACUGAGACACGGCCCAAACUCCUACGGGAGGCAGCAGUGGGGAAUAUUGGACAAUGGGGGAAACCCUGAUCCAGCGACGCCGCGUGAGUGAAGAGGUAUUUCGGUAUGUAAAGCUCUAUCAGCAGGGAAGAAAAAAAUGACGGUACCUGACUAAGAAGCCCCGGCUAACUACGUGCCAGCAGCCGCGGUAAUACGUAGGGGGCAAGCGUUAUCCGGAUUUACUGGGUGUAAAGGGAGCGUAGACGGCAGGGCAAGUCUGAUGUGAAAGGUCGGGGCCCAACCCCGGGACUGCAUUGGAAACUGUCCGGCUGGAGUACAGGAGAGGUAAGUGGAAUUCCUAGUGUAGCGGUGAAAUGCGUAGAUAUUAGGAGGAACACCAGUGGCGAAGGCGGCUUACUGGACUGUAACUGACGUUG
Molecule: ribosomal RNA, 753 nt
Filed under: uncultured bacterium
Lineage: Bacteria
Description: bacterial SSU rRNA
Rfam family: Bacterial small subunit ribosomal RNA
Source: RNAcentral